RNAcentral lists this unclassified non-coding RNA (345 nucleotides) under soil metagenome. RNAcentral's name for it is "partial contains 5.8S ribosomal RNA, internal transcribed spacer 2, and large subunit ribosomal RNA". The stretch from base 1 to 120 matches the Rfam family "5.8S ribosomal RNA", at positions 35 to 154 of the family's 154-position model. The record is from RNAcentral.
GAUGAAGAACGUAGCGAAAUGCGAUAAGUAAUGUGAAUUGCAGAAUUCCGUGAAUCAUCGAGUCUUUGAACGCACAUUGCGCCCCCUGGUAUUCCGGGGGGCAUGCCUGUCCGAGCGUCAUUGCUGCCCUCAAGCCCGGCUUGUGUGUUGGGCCCCGUCCUCCGAUUCCGGGGGACGGGCCCGAAAGGCAGCGGCGGCACCGCGUCCGGUCCUCGAGCGUAUGGGGCUUUGUCACCCGCUCUGUAGGCCCGGCCGGCGCUUGCCGAUCAACCCAAAUUUUUAUCCAGGUUGACCUCGGAUCAGGUAGGGAUACCCGCUGAACUUAAGCAUAUCAAUAGCGGAGGA